AUGGCCGCCGAGCCACCGCCUUGCGCCGCCCGUUCGUCGUCCCACCGCAGCAUCCUGCUUCGCUCGACGCCUCUGCGCCAAGUCCCUCAACCGGGGCGCCGCGCCUACGCCCUUGCUUCCUCGUCACCGGCGAGCGUCGCGCCGUCUUCUUCUCCUCCUGCCCGCGACCGAGCCCCGCUGCCGCUGCCCUUCUGCAACGCCGCCGUCCACGACCAGCAGGAGGCCGCCGCUUGCCUCGCACCACUGCUGCCGGCGACCGAGGCUGCUGGAGCAUGCCCGCAGUCACCCAUGCGCCGCCAUGCCUCCCCUGCAACUGCUCUUCGGCGAGCUCCAGCAGCUCCACCACGUUCCGAUGCCGCCGGCUGA
RNAcentral lists this ribosomal RNA (366 nucleotides) under Triticum aestivum (bread wheat). Its description in RNAcentral is "partial small subunit ribosomal RNA". Lineage: Eukaryota; Viridiplantae; Streptophyta; Magnoliopsida; Poales; Poaceae. The record is from RNAcentral.